Molecule: long non-coding RNA, 732 nt
Organism: Polypterus senegalus (gray bichir)
Lineage: Eukaryota; Metazoa; Chordata; Cladistia; Polypteriformes; Polypteridae
Exons: 3
Source: RefSeq, a predicted model, not a curated record
UUAGCUGAAGAAAUUUCUAAUAAAUAUUCUUAAACACAUUUUUUGAUAAGUCAACAGAUCUUAAAGGAAAACAAGAGGUUGAUAUAAUCAAUAGGUUGAUAUAAAAACCUUUCACUUGCUUACAUUUCCAAUUUGUGUAGUGCAGUGUCUUAAUUGCUUGUUUAACAAGAGCUUAACAAAGGCUUUGUUUGUGUUACCUGUCAAUAAAUUACUCCCUUCUUUAAGCCUUACUUUAAAAUGUUAUUUUUAUUUUAUAUUAAUACAAAUUGUUCUCCUAUGUACAGGGCCGGUACCACCAUUAAGGUGAAUUAGGCAUUCUCCAAGGGCGCAGAUCAUAGGGGGAGUACAACCAAGCUGCAUGGCAAAUAACACUUUAUGCAGCCCUGAUGCGAAGGACAGAUGUUGAUGGCACGACCAGUGCCCUGACAUCAUAUCCGGUUCUGCCUACUUGAACCUGAGCCCUCCUCCAGGGUUGUGUCACAGGAGGCAGGGUGGUCAGACCCAGCCGGGAUGCCUGGAAGGACCGGGAGGUGGUCUAUAUGUACCCCGGGCCAUGAGGGGGCAACUGCCCUGGAUGUAGAGGGGACCACAGGGAAGGAGCAAGAAGGCUCAAGCCCAAUGGAGCCUGUGGCCACCACCAAGGGGUUCCCCGAGCGUCGUGGAGCCCAGGAGAUCGGCACUUCCGCCACACCUGUGAAGAUGGAGGAAGGACCUUCCAAGGACGCCCGGAGU